UUUAUCGGUGAAAGAUGGAUCCGCGUCUGAUUAGCCAGUUGGCGGGGUAACGGCCCACCAAAGCGACGAUCAGUAGCCGGCCUGAGAGGGCGGACGGCCACAUUGGGACUGAGACACGGCCCAGACUCCUACGGGAGGCAGCAGUGGGGGAUAUUGCACAAUGGGCGCAAGCCUGAUGCAGCGACGCCGCGUGAGUGAAGAAGUAUUUCGGUAUGUAAAGCUCUAUCAGCAGGGAAGAAAGGCCCGCAAGGGAGA
This 255-nucleotide ribosomal RNA is filed under the name uncultured bacterium. RNAcentral's name for it is "partial 16S ribosomal RNA". It matches the Rfam family "Bacterial small subunit ribosomal RNA", at positions 211 to 470 of the family's 1533-position model. The record is from RNAcentral.